ACGAGGUCUGUGGCAGCAAAGUGAACCGACCUGGGUUCUUUUCAGGUCGCAGUGUCGGUACAGUCGCCUGGAGGUACAGUCUAAUUUCUGCAGAGUCGACCUGGUGGAUUUUGACAUGACCCCGAAACGGCCGGAGCACUGAUACUGCUGUGUUGUCGGUGACAUUUGAGGUUUAGAUGAGUCACACGUCUCACAUGGUGCAGCUACAGUCUCAUCCCUUGAUGAUUCGGACUCCCCUGCAGUGUCUGGAAAGAUUGCAUGGAAAAGAUUCAGAUCCACUGUCACCCCAUGACAUCACACCGGAGAGCAUUCCAGACACCGGAGUGUCCUGGGAGAGGAGUAUCUCUGUGUUUCUCACCUGCUCUUGCAGUUGGC
Molecule: long non-coding RNA, 375 nt
Organism: Dicentrarchus labrax (European seabass)
Lineage: Eukaryota; Metazoa; Chordata; Actinopteri; Moronidae
Exons: 3
Source: RefSeq, a predicted model, not a curated record